RNAcentral lists this ribosomal RNA (372 nucleotides) under uncultured bacterium. RNAcentral's name for it is "bacterial SSU rRNA". It matches the Rfam family "Bacterial small subunit ribosomal RNA", at positions 524 to 898 of the family's 1533-position model. The record is from RNAcentral.
UACGGAGGGUCCAAGCGUUAUCCGGAUUUAUUGGGUUUAAAGGGUGCGUAGGCGGCACAGUAAGUUAGAGGUGAAAUCUCGCGGCUCAACCGCGAAACUGCCUCUGAUACUGCUGAGCUAGAGAUUAGAUGCUGUGGGCGGAAUGUGUAGUGUAGCGGUGAAAUGCUUAGAGAUUACACAGAACACCGAUUGCGAAGGCAGCUCACAAAUCUACUUCUGACGUUGAGGCACGAAAGCGUGGGUAGCAAACAGGAUUAGAUACCCUGGUAGUCCACGCAGUAAACGAUGAUAGCUCGUUGUCGGCGAUACACAGUCGGUGACUUAGCGAAAGCGUUAAGCUAUCCACCUGGGGAGUACGUUCGCAAGAAUGAA